Long non-coding RNA from Nicotiana tabacum (common tobacco), 1395 nucleotides. RefSeq lists it as uncharacterized. The record is from RefSeq and is a predicted model, not a curated record. Lineage: Eukaryota; Viridiplantae; Streptophyta; Magnoliopsida; Solanales; Solanaceae.
GAAGUUGCCUUUACGAGAUGCUGUGAGGACAAGCAUCUUAUCAAAGAUAUGGAGAUAUAAGUGGUGUAGACUUCCACAGAUGACGCUUGAUCAUACACUCUGGAAACCUAAUAGGAAUGUAACAUACAUUGCAAGUAAUUUUCCAAAGAUUGUCUCCCACAUUUUAAAACUUCAUGCAGGACCAAUUACAAAGUUAACCUUUUGGUUUCCUUAUUUUGUCAAAUGUCCUAAUAUUGACAAUUUGAUAUGUUUCCUCUCCAAGAAUGGCAUUCAGCAUCUUGUUCUUAAAAUUCCUAUUGGUAUAGCCCUUAUGAAUUGCCUUCUUCAUUUUUCACAUGUUCGCAGUUGAGGCAUUUGUCUCUCGAAAAUUGCCUAGUACGUCCUCCACCAGUCUUUAAGGGAUUUGAAAGGUUAAUUAGCCUAGAACUAUGUCGAGUCACUAUUUCUUCUGAAUUUCUUGGAAGUUUAAUCUCCGAUUCCCCGCUGCUUGAGCAUUUGGUGCUCGAACCGUCAUGUGAUUUAUCUCACAUUGAAGUCGAUGCUCCCAAGCUGAGGUCAUUUUUCUUCAUAGGCGGUAUACAUAUAAUUCGUCUGCAAAAUAUCCCUCUUCUCGCAAAAGUUUCGAUUCUGUUUAGACAAUUUUCUGUGAAGGCAAGAAAACCUGAUCUUGCCAAGUUUUUUUAGCCUAUUCAUGCUCUUGAGCAUCUCCACUGGGAUUGCUAUAAGUUUUGGCAUUUGUUUGCCGAAGCAGUUGAAGUACCAAGAAGGCUUUCCUCUGCUCUGAACUGUCUCGGUGUGCCUAGAUGAAUUACAUGAUCUUCAAGGUGCUCUUUGCUUGAUAAGGAGCUCUCCAUAUUUAGAAGAUAUUGAAAUGAAGGUGUAUCAAUGUUUUAAAAUGCUUGAUCCAGCGACUAGGGAUUAUGUUACUGAAAUUCCUGCAAGCUUCUCAGAUGUGACAUUGAAUCACCUCAGGGCAGUUAAGCUUAUAGGUGUAGCAGGAACAUGGCCUGAAAUGCAGCUUAUCAAGCUUCUAUUGGCCAAGUCUCCAGUGCUGGUCACAAUGGUAAUCGAGACCCCUAUGGACUGAAAGAUAAAAAAUCUCUUAAAGUAGUCGCAGAGAUAACAAAAUUUCCGCAGGUGUCAUCUAAAGCAGAAGUUGUAUAUAAUGUAGAUUAGUGUCCGUAGUUGCGCUUGAUCUUCACCAGCCUUUAAUCAGUUCAUGAAUCUUUGGCUAAAAUGUUUUUGGAAGUUAAAAGUGUGAAAAUAGAAACAAAUGUUGAUGCAGUACUAUAAAGUUGUGUUUUGCCUUUGCCAUAAGAUAGUGAGUAGACUAUAUUAGUUUGGGAACAAGUGUAUCUGGAUGGAUGUUCUGAGUAGUAGUUCAUGCCUGAUUGU